GAUUUGAUAUCCAGGUUUGGGGUUACGUUUCGGCCGUAGUUGUUGGAGUAUUUUUCUUCUAUCAAAGGU
Molecule: transfer RNA, 69 nt
Filed under: Fasciola jacksoni
Lineage: Eukaryota; Metazoa; Platyhelminthes; Trematoda; Plagiorchiida; Fasciolidae
Description: tRNA-Arg
Source: RNAcentral